Molecule: ribosomal RNA, 500 nt
Filed under: uncultured bacterium
Lineage: Bacteria
Description: partial 16S ribosomal RNA
Rfam family: Bacterial small subunit ribosomal RNA
Source: RNAcentral
AUUGAACGCUGGCGGCAUGCCUUACACAUGCAAGUCGAACGGCAGCACGGGAGCAAUCCUGGUGGCGAGUGGCGAACGGGUGAGUAAUAUAUCGGAACGUGCCCAGUCGUGGGGGAUAACGUAGCGAAAGCUACGCUAAUACCGCAUACGAUCUACGGAUGAAAGCGGGGGAUCGCAAGACCUCGCGCGAUUGGAGCGGCCGAUAUCAGAUUAGCUAGGUGGUGAGGUAAAGGCUCACCAAGGCGACGAUCUGUAGCUGGUCUGAGAGGACGAACAGCCACACUGGAACUGAGACACGGUCCAGACUCCUACGGGAGGCAGCAGUAGGGAAUUUUCCGCAAUGGGCGCAAGCCUGACGGAGCAAUGCCGCGUGAGGGAAGAAGGUCUUCGGAUCGUAAACCUCUUUCGUUUGGGAAGAAACGUGGGUUCAAGAAACGGGAUUCGCGAGACGGUACCAGAGGAAGAAGCCCCGGCUAAUUACGUGCCAGCCGCCGCGGUAA